GCCGCGCGGCACGUUCAGCCCCUGCUGGAACACCUGCGCCAUGCGAGAGCGUUCCUCGGGAUCGGCAAGUUUCGAAUCGCUCGGAUCGACAUUGCCGGGAAGGCUGUUCUCCUUCAGCAACCAGUGCGCCUGAUCCUCAUAGGCCGGCAGCACAUUGUCUGCAUCGACGCCGAGCUUUUCGGCAAUGCCCGCGGCGAAUUUUUCCGCCUGCUCGAUCUUCGCGGAGCGUGGCCCUUCCAUUGGCGCGAUCAAAUCGGGAUUGCGCCAGAUCGGCACGCCAUCCUUGCGCCAGUACAGACCAAAA
Molecule: unclassified non-coding RNA, 304 nt
Filed under: Hevea brasiliensis (rubber tree)
Lineage: Eukaryota; Viridiplantae; Streptophyta; Magnoliopsida; Malpighiales; Euphorbiaceae
Source: RNAcentral